RNAcentral lists this ribosomal RNA (253 nucleotides) under uncultured bacterium. RNAcentral describes it as "partial 16S ribosomal RNA". It matches the Rfam family "Bacterial small subunit ribosomal RNA", at positions 524 to 776 of the family's 1533-position model. The record is from RNAcentral.
CACGUAGGGUGCGAGCGUUGUCCGGAAUUAUUGGGCGUAAAGAGCUCGUAGGCGGUGUGUCGCGUCGGCCGUGAAAACCUGCAGCUUAACUGUGGGCUUGCGGUCGAUACGGGCGUGCUGGAGUUCGGCAGGGGAGACUGGAAUUCCUGGUGUAGCGGUGAAAUGCGCAGAUAUCGAGAGGAACACCUGCGGCGAAGGCGGGUAGCUGGGCCGACACUGACGCUGAGGCGCGAAAGCCAGGGGAGCGAACGGG